AGCGUUAAUCGGAAUUACUGGGCGUAAAGCGCACGCAGGCGGUCUGUCAAGUCGGAUGUGAAAUCCCCGGGCUCAACCUGGGAACUGCAUUCGAAACUGGCAGGCUAGAGUCUUGUAGAGGGGGGUAGAAUUCCAGGUGUAGCGGUGAAAUGCGUAGAGAUCUGGAGGAAUACCGGUGGCGAAGGCGGCCCCCUGGACAAAGACUGACGCUCAGGUGCGAAAGCGUGGGGAGCAAACAGGAUUAGAUACCCUGGUAGUCCACGCCGUAAACGAUGUCGAUUUGGAGGUUGUGCCCUUGAGGCGUGGCUUCCGGAGCUAACGCGUUAAAUCGACCGCCUGGGGAGUACGGCCGCAAGGUUAAAACUCAAAUGAAUUGACGGGGGCCCGCACAAGCGGUGGAGCAUGUGGUUUAAUUCGAUGCAACGCGAAGAACCUUACCUGGUCUUGACAUCCACAGAACUUACCAGAGAUGGAUUGGUGCCUUCGGGAACUGUGAGACAGGUGCUGCAUGGCUGUCGUCAGCUCGUGUUGUGAAAUGUUGGGUUAAGUCCCGCAACGAGCGCAACCCUUAUCCUUUGUUGCCAGCGGUCCGGCCGGGAACUCAAAGGAGACUGCCAGUGAUAAACUGGAGGAAGGUGGGGAUGACGUCAAGUCAUCAUGGCCCUUACGACCAGGGCUACACACGUGCUACAAUGGCAUAUACAAAGAGAAGCGACCUCGCGAGAGCAAGCGGACCUCAUAAAGUAUGUCGUAGUCCGGAUUGGAGUCUGCAACUCGACUCCAUGAAGUCGGAAUCGCUAGUAAUCGUAGAUCAGAAUGCUACGGUGAAUACGUUCCCGGGCCUUGUACACACCGCCCGUCACACCAUGGGAGUGGGUUGCAAAAGAAGUAGGUAGCUUAACCUCGGG
Molecule: ribosomal RNA, 908 nt
Filed under: Klebsiella pneumoniae
Lineage: Bacteria; Pseudomonadati; Pseudomonadota; Gammaproteobacteria; Enterobacterales; Enterobacteriaceae
Description: bacterial SSU rRNA
Rfam family: Bacterial small subunit ribosomal RNA
Source: RNAcentral